UCAGGCCUAACACAUGCAAGUCGAGGGGUAGAGUUAGCUUGCUAACUUGAGACCGGCGCGCGGGUGCGUAACGCGUACGCAAUCUACCUUGUACAGAGGGAUAGCCCAGAGAAAUUUGGAUUAAUACCUCAUAGUAUCUUCGAGAGGCCUCUCUUGAUUAUUAAAGUUCCAACGGUACAAGAUGAGCAUGCGUCCCAUUAGCUAGUUGGUAUGGUAACGGCAUACCAAGGCUAUGAUGGGUAGGGGUCCUGAGAGGGAGAUCCCCCACACUGGUACUGAGACACGGACCAGACUCCUACGGGAGGCAGCAGUGAGGAAUAUUGGUCAAUGGGCGAGAGCCUGAACCAGCCAUGCCGCGUGCAGGAAGACGGUCCUAUGGAUUGUAAACUGCUUUUAUACAGGAAGAAACCCUCCCACGUGUGGGAGCUGAC
RNAcentral lists this ribosomal RNA (431 nucleotides) under uncultured bacterium. RNAcentral describes it as "bacterial SSU rRNA". It matches the Rfam family "Bacterial small subunit ribosomal RNA", at positions 42 to 473 of the family's 1533-position model. The record is from RNAcentral.